CAAGAUAUUUUUAUUUGAAAGUAACAGAUUUGGUCCAUCUACUUUUUUAGAGGAAACGAAACAAGUGACCAAAUAUAUGUCGGUUCAGAAAUCACUCCAGAUGUGAGAAUAUUACACAUUGGAAGCCACAGAUCAACAAAAAGAGUCGAUUAUGAAAUACCUUCAGUUAAAGUGGUGAAAUGUGAUUGUCUAUUUGCAGCACGCCGAGGAUUGGUAUCUCCAGGAUCUAUUAACCAGUUUGGAUAUGUAAUACUCCCUCCGUUCUUUUUUAAUUGACUCGAAUUUAGUACAAGUUUGUACUAAAUCCGAGUCAAUUAAAAAGGAACGGAGGGAGUACAAAUGAGGAAAAUGAGGUUGUAUUAGGCGUAUGAACUGUAUUCUUUGGUACGAAACCUGAAUUUUCGUUUUGCA
Lolium rigidum is the source of this 411-nucleotide long non-coding RNA. RefSeq lists it as uncharacterized. Lineage: Eukaryota; Viridiplantae; Streptophyta; Magnoliopsida; Poales; Poaceae. The record is from RefSeq and is a predicted model, not a curated record. The transcript is spliced from 2 exons.